GACGAACGCUGGCGGCGUGCCUAAUACAUGCAAGUCGAGCGGACGGAUGGGAGCUUGCUCCCAGACCGUCAGCGGCGGACGGGUGAGUAACACGUUGGCAACCUGCCUGUAAGACUGGGAUAACUCCGGGAAACCGGGGCUAAUACCGGAUAACUCUUUCCCUCACAUGAGGGAAAGCUGAAAUAUGGCAUCUCGCUAUCACUUACAGAUGGGCCCGCGGCGCAUUAGCUAGUUUGUGAGGUAACGGCUCACCAAGGCGACGAUGCGUAGCCGACCUGAGAGGGUGAGCGGCAAAACGGGGACUGAGACACGGCACAGACUACUACGGGAGGCAGCAGUAGGGAAUCUUCCGCAAUGGACGAAAGUCUGACGGAGCAACGCCGAGUGAGUGAUGAAGGUUUUCGGAUCGUAAAACUCUGUUGUCAGGGAAGAACAAGUACCGGAGUAACUGCCGGUAGCUUGACGGUACCUGAACAGAAAGCCACGGCUAACUACGUG
This 498-nucleotide ribosomal RNA is filed under the name uncultured bacterium. Its description in RNAcentral is "partial 16S ribosomal RNA". It matches the Rfam family "Bacterial small subunit ribosomal RNA", at positions 28 to 507 of the family's 1533-position model. The record is from RNAcentral.